UAAAAGAGAGCACCAAAAAGAAAAAAGUGAUCCCCCAGAAUCGAUAGCUACUCAGGAGAUCGGCGCAGGUCCAUUUUUUAUCUGACAUUGACGGUAAAGUAAUUUCCAUAUUUAUCCCUUGUUUUCCAUAGAAAAUAAGAAUGUAUAGAACUAUUUAAAUUGAUAAUAAAUAUUGAUUAUGUGAAUAACGUUUAUAGCCAAUUUUAACUUAAAACGAAGGGCCAUUUUAUCAAAUAGUUCUAUUCUUUUUCAGCGUAUAAAAGUAGGAUGUGAGGUGAUUAAAUCUAUAGCGCCUUCUGAAUGAUAAUCUGUGAUUUUUUAUGCGUGGCAUUACAUCAUUGGGUUAAAUGUGAUUCCAUUGUGAGUUAUAUUUUUCCGUCAGCAAAUACAGAAUUUGCGUGACGCGUUUGGCGGAAUAGUGGGCGCUUUGCUGGAAUUCAGGCUGUUGCCAUAGCCAGGUAACAAAGCGGCGACUAGCCGCCAGAUUAACGGCGACACCUUGUUCUAAGUGGGAACCGGUUAACGAACAGACCAUUUUGCGGUUGUGACCUUGCCCCCAGAGCUGCCACUGAUUUUGCCACCAUCCCUGCCAUGUUUUGCCUAACAGUUGCCACUCUGCGCGGCAAUCGUCAUCGUUUAUCUCUUCCUCAACGAACCACAGCGAGGAGAGACGCUGGCGAAACCGCUCCGCCCAUGCCGUAAUGACCGCGCCGCGCAAAAAACACUCAUGGGCAAUGAUGUGUGUCGUGACAUCAGGAAAACGGUUUUUCAGCACCCGAAAAUGACCAUGCGCCGUAAUGACCGGGCGAAGUAUUGUUCCUUGCGCGUUCCGUUUAAGCGCCGCCGGGCCAUACUGAAUCUCAUCGAACUGGCUGCGCUGUAAAAAUUGCCGUUCUUUAAUGGCGAUACGGUGAAUAAUAUCGCCCUUCUCGCCCUCGGGCGGCGCAAUUCCUUUCCAGUGGUAAUGCAAACUUUUUCCGGCAGACAGUAACGUGAAAUUGCUGGAAAGGUGAAGAAUAUUGCCGCGAACAGCGUCAAAACUGAAUAAAAAGUACAAUUGCUGGAAGGCAUUCGCUCCCUGAAACGGUACGAGCAGCGGAAUACUGCAAAUCUGUUCCGGCGUUUCGGCGACAUUCAGCGCGUGCUGUUUUGGCGUCCAGACUUUCUUACAGUACUGGCACUGAAGUCGCUGCGUUCCGCCGGGAUUACGUCCAUAACGAAUCCAUGUUUUUUGAUAGCAAUCGGGGCAAAAGUGACCAUGCUCUUUGGCAUAUUGCGCGAUAUAAGCAGACGCCCAGCGGCGAAAUUCCCCCUCGUUGAAGAGCGGCGGAUAACUGCCGCAGGCUCGACAAUGCAAUGCCGGAUAACCCAGGCGAUAGUCCGGCCACACAUAAUCCGGCGAGUCAGGCAGCCCAAGAUUGCGACAACCAGCGCUUUUGCAGGCAUUAAUGGUGAACAGAGGCGGCAUUCAUUUUACCAACGAUUUUGGCAGGUCGUUGAUUCUGCCUUCAUAAAGCGGUACGCGGGUGUGAGGACUCUCAC
RNAcentral lists this ribosomal RNA (1542 nucleotides) under Salmonella sp. FORC89. RNAcentral describes it as "Small Subunit Ribosomal RNA". Lineage: Bacteria; Pseudomonadati; Pseudomonadota; Gammaproteobacteria; Enterobacterales; Enterobacteriaceae. The record is from RNAcentral.